This 393-nucleotide ribosomal RNA is filed under the name uncultured bacterium. RNAcentral describes it as "partial 16S ribosomal RNA". It matches the Rfam family "Bacterial small subunit ribosomal RNA", at positions 523 to 918 of the family's 1533-position model. The record is from RNAcentral.
AUACGGAGGAUGCGAGCGUUAUCCGGAUUUAUUGGGUUUAAAGGGUGCGUAGGUGGUAAUUUAAGUCAGCGGUGAAAGUUUGUGGCUCAACCAUAAAAUUGUCGUUGAAACUGGGUUACUUGAGUGUGUUUGAGGUAGGCGGAAUGCGUGGUGUAGCGGUUAAAUGCAUAGAUAUCACGCAGAACUCCAAUUGCGAAGGCAGCUUACUAAACCAUAACUGACACUGAAGCACGAAAGCGUGGGUAUCAAACAGGAUUAGAUACCCUGGUAGUCCACGCAGUAAACGAUGAUUACUAGGAGUUUGCGAUACACGGUAAGCUCUACAGCGAAAGCGUUAAGUAAUCCACCUGGGGAGUACGCCGGCAACGGUGAAACUCAAAUGAAUUGACGGGG